AACGAACGCUGGCGGCAGGCCUAACACAUGCAAGUCGAGCGCGCCCUUCGGGGUGAGCGGCGGACGGGUGAGUAACGCGUGGGAACGUGCCCUUCUCUGCGGAAUAGCCUCGGGAAACUGAGAGUAAUACCGCAUACGCCCUCUGGGGGAAAGAUUUAUCGGAGAAGGAUCGGCCCGCGUUGGAUUAGGUAGUUGGUGGGGUAAUGGCCCACCAAGCCGACGAUCCAUAGCUGGUUUGAGAGGAUGAUCAGCCACACUGGGACUGAGACACGGCCCAGACUCCUACGGGAGGCAGCAGUGGGGAAUCUUAGACAAUGGGGGCAACCCUGAUCUAGCCAUGCCGCGUGAGUGAUGAAGGCCUUAGGGUUGUAAAGCUCUUUCAGCUGGGAAGAUAAUGACGGUACCAGCAGAAGAAGCCCCGGCUAACUCCGUG
RNAcentral lists this ribosomal RNA (433 nucleotides) under uncultured bacterium. Its description in RNAcentral is "partial 16S ribosomal RNA". It matches the Rfam family "Bacterial small subunit ribosomal RNA", at positions 29 to 507 of the family's 1533-position model. The record is from RNAcentral.